Molecule: non-coding RNA, 2402 nt
Organism: Ciona intestinalis (vase tunicate)
Lineage: Eukaryota; Metazoa; Chordata; Ascidiacea; Phlebobranchia; Cionidae
Source: RefSeq, a predicted model, not a curated record
AAAACGCAUUCGCAAAUAGCGUUAAAACUUUAGUUUACUAGUAACUCCAGUCAAUAUCGAGUUAAUUUCGUGUUUGUUAAUGUAGUAUUGAUUUGGUAAGCCAAUUUUUCGAUUUAUUACGGGUUAGUUCAGCAGUUUUGCAAGGAACAGUUUUCCGAAUUGUACUGUUUUUAAAACUCUAGAAUUUGAAAAGUAUCGCUUGUAUACCUGGGAAUUGAACUGUAUGUGAAUUGAUAAACUGUGGUGGGAUUUUUCCAGCCAUCACUACAAUGCAGACAACGCCAAAUCCUGGAAGAUAUGUAGCGCAUAAAUUACAGCUGUGAAUGCCAAAAAAAAUCUGGAGAGCAAUAUUUAUUUGUCUUUAACUAGGCUGCUCUAAAGAACCUACAAGUACUGGCUUUUAUCAUCACACUCAACAGGUGGUGCAUGGUGGACAUUUAUAAUCGAGCGGCAGAAUAUCCAGAAUGCUCGAAAUGCAAGAAAAAGUUUAUCAUUUGGAGCCGAGGAAUUGACGAUCCGCUAGAUGUGGACUACCUGUUUUAAUUUACAGAAAAUCCAAACUCACUUCAAUAUUUGGUAAAAUUUUAAAAGUCAAUGUCCACAAAAACAUCACAAAAAAGCGAGAGUUGCUUAAGGAACAUUAUCAUGGGUCACCAACGUUGGCAACAAAAUACUUCCAAAUGCUCAUGUUGGUACUUACAGAAGGAGAAGGAAGUUUAAACAAUAUUGCCUUAUACAAUAUAUUCCAAUGCCAUUGACGGAAAGUUACUCCAAUGCGGAAAGUUACUCCAAUGUCCCCUGUCAGACCUUAUACACGUUGAUAGAAGUUGUUGUUCAAGUCGCCCCAAUGUAAACAAACUAUUUCACAAGUGGGAAGCAACAAUUGUUCAUCUGGACAUUUAGCAUUUUAUUUAGCGCAUUGGAAUCCCACCCUCUCUAUGAUAUUUUUCUCGGCCAGUUGUCCCAAUGCAUCUUCGAGAGUAAUGAGGACUUGAACCUAUUAAUCCGAGCUAAUAUGUUGCAGCUGGUCGGCAGUGGUUUUUUUAAAUCUUUCAUACUAAAACAGAACUUGCAAAACACUGCUGUCGAAAAACAAGAUUCAAAGAAGAAAUAAAACAACUGAUGGGCCAACUGAUUCAAACAUUUACUGGUGCACUAGGGGUACCACUUUUGGAUGCGGAACUCACAUCAUUGAUAUGGAAAGAGCAGCAGCAGCAUGUAAAGUGUAUCACAGAUCCUGAAAAUUAUGCAUUGUAUAUUGAAAUGGGACAAUUAAAAAAGGGCAACAGAAUGCUAAAAACUUACAGAUGUGGACGAGGGUCUUUUAAACUGAUUUAUUCCAGGUACAAGUGCAAGUGACUUGCACUUUCAAAACAUAUCUGUUGAAGGGAAUAUCGAGAUGAAAUUUUGACAGCGUUGCUGCUGCUGUAUCGUCUCCUAAAACGAUCUCUAGCUAUAACGCCACAGUGCUCCACACAGCCAAUAAGCUAGCAAGGCUGUCUUUAAACAAGAAAUGCGGCACAGUGCUAUACAUGGUAAUACACCUGGGCCAAUAUACAGGUGAACUUAUUGGUGUUAAGUACUUAUAACUGGAGCAGUGUUGAACGCCUUUAACUCUUGAUGAGCCUGCAGACAAAUUGCUGCUAGUGCUGGCCGAUAUGAGCGAUUUAUAAACGUUCAAGGAAUUCCUGUAAGAUCUGGAGGAAAAAGGUGAUAUCGCUGAAGCUACAUUAAAAAGUUUGCUUGCAAAUUUCUACAGGCCCGCUUCUGACGAGGGCCCAAGAACAAAAGGAGGAAGGUGAUAUCGCGGAAGCUACAUUAGGCAGUUUGCUUCCAGAUACAAACAGUCUUGCUUCUGGUAUGUGUAUUAGGAACAUGCUUUAUGCACCAAGACUUACAGCUGUAAUAACUUAAAUUUUAAGUUCAGGUGUGUCAGCAGUUAGACCUACAAUGUGUGCAAGUAGACCUUAAAACCUGGUCACCAGAAUCAGGUUCCACUUCGUUUUUAUGCUUUACCUUCACUUCUAAAUCAGAACUGUUGGCAGCCAAUACAAAGGCAAAUAUGAGAAAACAGAAAACCCACUUGUAAACAGGUUAUUUAUUGAGUUUGCAAGUGGUCUCAUCUGUGGCAGAGGUGUAUGUGGGACAAAGCAAUAUCUUUGUCCAUAUCAUGGUAACCCUUUGGUAAUGGUCUCUAAUAUAGAGUGUACCGGCUCCUUGACAAAUGAGUAUGCCUUGGACAUCGUGAGGCACCUGUUGGACGUAUACGACAAGCGACAUGUUUCCUGGGGGCUUUUACUGGUACUUCUUAAUAGCCCGGCUGCAAUCGAUAUGUAGAAUCUACCAUUUUCAAAACUGUGUGACAUACACACUGGUCCAGAACGUCGACAGAGUAAAACAAU